CGCCGGUGACAAACCGGAGGAAGGUGGGGAUGACGUCAAGUCCUCAUGGCCCUUAUAGGUGGGGCUACACACGUCAUACAAUGGCCGGUACAGAGGGUAGCCAACCCGCGAGGGGGAGCCAAUCCCACAAAGCCGGUCGUAGUCCGGAUCGCAGUCUGCAACUCGACUGCGUGAAGUCGGAAUCGCUAGUAAUCGCGGAUCAGCAUGUCGCGGUGAAUACGUUCCCGGGUCUU
This 233-nucleotide ribosomal RNA is filed under the name uncultured Allobrachymonas sp. RNAcentral's name for it is "uncultured Brachymonas sp. partial 16S ribosomal RNA". It matches the Rfam family "Bacterial small subunit ribosomal RNA", at positions 1150 to 1382 of the family's 1533-position model. The record is from RNAcentral. Lineage: Bacteria; Pseudomonadati; Pseudomonadota; Betaproteobacteria; Burkholderiales; Comamonadaceae.